UGUGAGUGGCAACAGAAGAUUUAACAGCC
This 29-nucleotide non-coding RNA is filed under the name Mus musculus (house mouse). Lineage: Eukaryota; Metazoa; Chordata; Mammalia; Rodentia; Muridae. The record is from RNAcentral.